GACGAACGCUGGCGGCGUGCCUAAUACAUGCAAGUCGAACGCUGAAGAGAGGAGCUUGCUCUUCUUGGAUGAGUUGCGAACGGGUGAGUAACGCGUAGGUAACCUGCCUUGUAGCGGGGGAUAACUAUUGGAAACGAUAGCUAAUACCGCAUAACAAUGGAUGACACAUGUCAUUUAUUUGAAAGGGGCAAUUGCUCCACUACAAGAUGGACCUGCGUUGUAUUAGCUAGUAGGUGAGGUAAUGGCUCACCUAGGCGACGAUACAUAGCCGACCUGAGAGGGUGAUCGGCCACACUGGGACUGGGACACGGCCCAGACUCCUACGGGAGGCAGCAGUAGGGAAUCUUCGGCAAUGGGGGCAACCCUGACCGAGCAACGCCGCGUGAGGGAAGAAGGUUUUCGGAUCGUAAAGCUCUGUUGUAAGUCAAGAACGGGUGUGAGAGUGGAAAGUUCACACUGUGACGGUAGCUUACCAGAAAGGGACGGCUAACUACGUG
Molecule: ribosomal RNA, 497 nt
Filed under: uncultured bacterium
Lineage: Bacteria
Description: partial 16S ribosomal RNA
Rfam family: Bacterial small subunit ribosomal RNA
Source: RNAcentral